CGAGGCGAACCGGGGAAACUGAAACAUCUCAGUACCCCGAGAAAAAGAAAUCAACCGAGAUUCCCCCAGUAGCGGCGAGCAAACGGGGAGCAACCCAGAGUCAACAUCAAUAUUUACCACAGGAGAAGGGUCUGGAAAAGCCGGCAAUAAAGGGUGAUAGCCCCGUAUCUAAAGCGGUAAGUGUUGUGAACUCGAAGAGUAGGGCGGGACACGUGUUAUCCUGUCUGAAUAUGGGGGGACCAUCCUCCAAGGCUAAAUACUCCUGACUGACCGAUAGUGAACCAGUACCGUGAGGGAAAGGCGAAAAGAACCCCGGCGAGGGGAGUGAAAUAGAACCUAAAACCGUGUACGUACAAGCAGUAGGAGCACCCGAAAGGGUGUGACUGCGUACCUUUUGUAUAAUGGGUCAGCGACUUAUAUUCUGUAGCAAGGUUAACCGCAUAGGGGAGCCGUAGGGAAACCGAGUCUUAACUGGGCGUUAAGUUGCAGGGUAUAGACCCGAAACCCGGUGAUCUAGCCAUAAGCAAGUUGAAG
This 534-nucleotide ribosomal RNA is filed under the name Arsenophonus endosymbiont of Bemisia tabaci. RNAcentral describes it as "partial 23S ribosomal RNA". It matches the Rfam family "Bacterial large subunit ribosomal RNA", at positions 175 to 750 of the family's 2925-position model. The record is from RNAcentral. Lineage: Bacteria; Pseudomonadati; Pseudomonadota; Gammaproteobacteria; Enterobacterales; Morganellaceae.